AUGCAUGUCUAAGUACAUACUUUUACAUAGUGAAACCGCGAAUGGCUCAUUAAAUCAGUUAUGGUUCCUUGGAUCGUACACUCCUACUUGGAUAACUGUGGCAAUUCUAGAGCUAAUACAUGCAACAAAGCUCCGACCUUCGGGGAAGAGCGCUUUUAUUAGAUCAAGACCAAUACGGGCCUCGUGUCCGUUCAAUUUGGUGACUCUGGAUAACUUUGGGCUGAUCGCAUGGCCUCGAGCCGGCGACGUAUCUUUCAAAUGUCUGCCCUAUCAACUUUCGAUGGUACGUGAUAUGCCUACCAUGGUUGUAACGGGUAACGGGGAAUUAGGGUUCGAUUCCGGAGAGGGAGCAUGAGAAACGGCUACCACA
Molecule: ribosomal RNA, 370 nt
Filed under: Glycera sp. DC-2019
Lineage: Eukaryota; Metazoa; Annelida; Polychaeta; Phyllodocida; Glyceridae
Description: SSU rRNA
Rfam family: Eukaryotic small subunit ribosomal RNA
Source: RNAcentral